CCUACGGGUGGCAGCAGUGAGGAAUAUUGGUCAAUGGACGGAAGUCUGAACCAGCCAUGCCGCGUGCAGGAAGACGGCUCUAUGAAUUGUAAACUGCUUUUGUACAAGGGUAAACCUGAAUACGCGUAUUCAGCUGAAAGUACUUUACGAAUCAGGAUCGGCUAACUCCGUGCCAGCAGCCGCGGUAAUACGGAGGAUCCAAGCGUUAUCCGGAUUUCUUGGGUUUAAAGGGUGCGUAGGCGGAGUGAUAAGUUAGAGGUGAAAUGUCCGGGCUUAACUCAGGAACUGCAUCUAAUACUGGUGAUCUAGAGAGUAGGUGCGGUAGGCGGAAUGUAUGGUGUAGCGGUGAAAUGCUUAGAGAGCAUACAGAACACCGAUUGCGAAGGCAGCUUACCAGUCUAUAUCUGACGUUGAGGCACGAAAGCGUGGGGAGCAAACAGGAUUAGAUACCCCAGUAGUC
Molecule: ribosomal RNA, 460 nt
Filed under: uncultured bacterium
Lineage: Bacteria
Description: partial 16S ribosomal RNA
Rfam family: Bacterial small subunit ribosomal RNA
Source: RNAcentral